Molecule: ribosomal RNA, 253 nt
Filed under: uncultured bacterium
Lineage: Bacteria
Description: partial 16S ribosomal RNA
Rfam family: Bacterial small subunit ribosomal RNA
Source: RNAcentral
UACGGGGGGGGCAAGCGUUGUUCGGAAUUACUGGGCGUAAAGGGCUCGUAGGCGGCCAACUAAGCCGGUUGUGAAAUCCCCGGGCUCAACCUGGGAACUGCAUCCGGGACUGCAUUGCUAGAGUAUGGGAGAGGGAAGCGGAAUUUCUGGUGUAGCAGUGAAAUGCGUAGAUAUCAGAAGGAACAUCAGUGGCGAAGGCGGCUUCCUGGACCAAUACUGACGAUCAGGUGCGAAAGCGUGGGGAGCAAACAGG